Long non-coding RNA from Populus trichocarpa (black cottonwood), 2226 nucleotides. RefSeq lists it as uncharacterized. NCBI's taxonomy places the organism in Eukaryota, Viridiplantae, Streptophyta, Magnoliopsida, Malpighiales, Salicaceae. The transcript has 2 exons. The record is from RefSeq and is a predicted model, not a curated record.
UCUUCUCGGUUUAAGUUCGCCUGCAGAGGGUGCACUGGUCUUGGAGUUGGGUUCCAAGAAGUCGUUGGUUUUCAUCUGGCUUGGUGGACUGUUGAGCGUUGUGAGGUUUGUCUAGCAAAGAAUGGCAUGCAUUCAUGAUCAUUCAUUAUGCAAGGCGCAAUUGUCUUUGUCAUAGGAGCUGCAUGGGAAGGGCCCUACGUGACAUUUUCCUUAUUGACGUUACAACAUGACUAUUCAGUUCAGAGGUGUGGUAUCUGAGUCCCUUAGCUAUACCUCCAUUUCUUCUUGUGCAACUGAAGGCUCUAUUUUAUGAUAAUAGAUGGGCUUGGCCGGCAUUGAAGCUUGAAUAAUUUUAAAACUUCAAGGUCUCUAACAGUAACAGAGUUCACCAUUGUGCUUUUUUAUAUUAUAGGAUUCUGGCUUCCGACACCCACUUCAUGAUCCUAAUCUUGCACCUUGUAGCACCCGGCUUGAAAUUCUCAAACCGUACCGAGUUCCUCUCCAACCAGAUUGCCCAUAAAAUGUUGAUAAAGCCAGCAUUCCAGAGAUCUUUUAGCAGAGAAGAAAGUCGCCUAAAUUUCAUUCUUCAGUGACUUUGAGGGGGCUGGUGAUUGCUGUGCUAGAUUGGACGUUGAAUUGGGUGUUAGCGAUUGGUUUGUUAGUUUUAGUUACUUUGCCUCUGGUUUUCCUUCAAAUGCUGUUUAGAUGUGUGUGGGUUGGUUCCAUUAACAAUUGUUCUGGUUUGGUUCCUUUAUGAAAAAAAAUAAUUGGUCUUGCUAAUGUUCUGUCACUUCAUGUCUGGUUUCUUUAGCUUUUUGUUAGAGUAGCAUGCUACUGUUUGAUGUCUUCUUUUAUAAUAAAGAGCAGGUGGGGUGGUUUAGGUUUAACAGCCUUCAUCGAUUGCAGCUCCUCUUUAAAGUCUUCUUCUUCUUCUGGUUAAUUUGGUGUUGUGACAUUUUUUGUCUACUAGUAGUUUCUUCCAGCCUUCUGUUCUUUUUUUCUUUUUGGUUGGUUUCAGUUUUCUUAUUUUCGACCAUCAUGUUAACUGGUUUUUUUUUUCUUUCAUUUCCUCUUGAUGGCUUCACAGGUUUGGGUUCUGCUCAUUAUGCUUGAGCUGACAAGAUUCUUGUUUUAUUGGUUGCCUUGCUGGUACUUCUAUUAAUGCGCUGCUAUGCCAGUUUUUUCAAGUUUCUUAUCGGUUUAUGUUAUAUUGUCUUUAGACGGCAUUCCAUGGUGGCUGGUAUUUUGAGUUAACAUUUCUAUGUUGUUGCACCAAGGAUUGGUUUUUAUAUUCAUGUUGUUGGUUUCUAUUUUGUCUGUGUCUGUGAUUUGUUGCUUUAAAGGUGUUUGUCGAUGGUUUUUUUUUUGUUUUUAUUUCUCCUUUUGCUUCUGAGGUAGAUUCUGCUACUGCCUAUAUGGUGUGUGGCUUAGACUAAAAGCAUGCUAUUAUCUGAGGGUCCAAAUAUGCCAGGGAAUAUGAUGACAGCCAUGAUCUUGGGAUUUCACGUCUAUGGAGGGUGGGAAGCAUGAAUGAAAGUAUCUUCCUGCAGCAUUAUUGGAUGGUUUUAUUGUGGAUUUUCUUGUUGCUUUCAUUUUCCUUGGGUGCUUGGUAUGUUUAGAAAACACUUUUUUUGGAAUUCAUACUCUCUUCUCUUUCAAGCUUUGGUCUUUUUUUGUCACACUGUCAUUUGGAUGGGGUGCUCUGAACUAAACCUCUGUCAAGGAUUUAUAGUGUUGUGAUGUGCAAGUUAAAGGCUUAGGUUUUAUUUCAAUCAUGGUUAACUCUUUAAUUGGUUUUGCCUUUGUCUUUUGAUGCUGAAUUUAUUUGUUCAUGUGUUCCACAGGGGCCCUUGAUCGCCUCUGCUCAGACAUCUUUUAAGCUUCAGGCUAUUCUGCAUUCUGUACCUUCAUAAACAUUGCCCUGGGCCUCUUUCAUCCUUAAGGGAGAGGCUGUGCUGUCCUUGGGAGGUUGAGAAUGAGAGGAUUGAUUUUUUAUUCUUUCUAUUCUAUGAUGUGCGAAGGUCAGCAGUGCUGUGGGAAUAGAAAAUAAAUGGUGUUGUUGGAUAUUGAUUUUUUUUUUUCCAAAAUCAUUUGUAUUUUCAGCCCUUGCUUGCUGCAAACUACGAUGUUUGAUUUGUUAAUUCCCAUUGCUUGGUGUCACAUAAUUAUUCUCCUGCAAAAGUAAGAAUCAAAAUUCUCCAUUCAUAGGCUGUUGCCUUUGCUACA